AUGCUCUAUACUCAUUUUAACAUGGGUAGGCAUUAUAUUUGUUAAUAUCUUAAUACCGAGCGUUAAUAUCUUAAUACAGAGCGUUACAAAUAUAAUGCCUACCCAUGCUAAAAUGAGCAUAGAGCAUGGCAUGAUAGAAUUAUUUCGAUUCUAAUAGGAAUAUUUUUAACUUUUGUACUUCGAAGCGGACCUAUAGUAGACGCUCGAAAUGUCGCC
This 216-nucleotide long non-coding RNA is filed under the name Mytilus galloprovincialis (Mediterranean mussel). The record is from RNAcentral. Lineage: Eukaryota; Metazoa; Mollusca; Bivalvia; Mytilida; Mytilidae.